AGGUACUCAUCAUUCACAAAGUCGCUAGAUCAACAUUAGUUACAUUAUUUUAGUUCACCGAGUGUAUCAAUUAUGAUUGUUAUAUUCAGUUUAGUUCACCGAGUGUAUCAAUUAUGAUUAUGUUAUAUUCAGUUUCGCUUGACAAUUAUGUAUAAUUCCUGCAUUCGUUUUGUGUAUUUUUAUUUAUGUGGUCAUGUUCUGGUAACCGUGACGUUUUAAAAUGACAUACCUCUGUUUGACACACAAAAAGUUACAGCAUGUUUCAGUUUUGACACAGUAAAAAUUAAUUUGACACCCGUGUUAGUGUGUUAAUUUUUGGGAAAGCAGUUUGACAACGCGUUUGCAUGCUAAAUUGACACCUCUCAUUUAUGUGUGAUAUAUAGCUAUGUUAAUUAACGACCAUGUGUGCAAGUCGCGUGCCGGCGGGUAGCCUGGACAACAGGGCAAAGGUAUAAAUAUAUAGGUAUUGUAAGACUAUCGCUCAGACAUUAAAGCAUGCAGGACUGCACCUGAAGUGCAUGGAUUCAGCUAAAUUUCUAACAAGGAUUGCCGGUGUCAUGUACAAGCGAAAUCCAGAUGUUGAUGAUCAACUAUAGAAGUGUUGCUACUCAGUUACUGAACUGCUACCCCUUCCUGUUGUCACCACUGGAAGGCAUGGGCCAUAUCGUGAAAACUCUGAGGAAUAGAAUGAGGGAAAAGAGGCAGAAAAAACAGAAGGAAUAACGCCGAUAAAGAUAGAGCACAUCAGUGCAUUUGAAAAACCAAAGAAAAGACAAAAGAUCAAAUUCAAUGUUCCUGGAGGGGAAGAUAAAUGCUCUUAUAUCCGCCACUGCAAGUAUGUUUCCUUUUUUUCUCAGAUUUCUCUGUGGAGAAAACAUCACCGAAUAUGGUUUCAGUAAAAGAACUGAUGUGCCUGACAUUCACACAGAGGCAGAAGGAGAUAUCUGAGCAUCCGAUGCACGUUUCUGCGAUCUUGAAAAGCUCCCUCCUUUUGAUCAAGUUUUAUUCUAUUCCAGAUGAUAUGGAUUCUCUGAGCAUCAAGUUCAUAGCACUCAUGGCUCUUCCAUUCCAUUAGCAUACAAGCCACACACGUGUACUUUGCACGCAUGCUAACUACACACGUUCCACACACAUCUAGUUAGUAUACAAGCGAGCUGCAUACAAGCCACACACAUGUACUUUGCACGCAUGCUAACUACACACGUACGUUCCACGUACACAUCUAGUUAGUAUACGAGCGAACUGCAAACAAUUAAUUAUAGCCACACACGUGUACUUGCACGUUCCACACACAUAUAUAGUAUAUAAUAUGAACAAACUGCAUAUACGUGUACCUGCACGCAUGCUAGCUACUAUAAUCAAAUAGUUAUAUAUAUAUAUAAUUAUUAUAUAAUUAUCGACAAUAAAACAGUCAACAAUAAUAAAAAUUAAUUAUAAAGAUCAACAGCUAGGUAGUAAAGGUGACAUUAUAAUUAAUCUUUUUCAAAUGUGUUGACUAAACUAGUGACAUAUAACAUCUCAUCAAUUCCAAUAGAAACACACUUUCCAAGCACAUUUUCUGCUUUAAUAACGAUUAGUUCAUUUUUUGGCCUAACAGAAAAAAAAAUUUUUAUUGUGAGAGGAAUAUCAUCGAAGGGCUUGCUACAUUCAUAAACACGUAUUAUUAUAAGCGUCGACAACUGGUUUUCGAUGUCUGCUUGAACAAUUUUUUGUACUUGCCCAUAAGGAAAACGAGAGUGCAUAAAAUACACAACCAAAUCACAUCGCUUUUUGGUCUGUGAGAAUUGUUUGGUGCUAUAUAUAGUUGUCGAUUAUACUCCGAACUCUUUGGUACUGGUUGCAAGAGCUUGAGCACUGUGGAAAGAAUGCAUCUAAAGCCCGUUUUUCUUGAUCAGUAAAUUCUUGCAACACAAUCUUUCCCAACACAAUCGUCUUCCGUGAAUAUGGCAAUAAUGAUGCCCCUCCGACUAACUCUUUCACAAAUCGCAAUUCUUCAAGUUUACUUCCAGUUGGAAAUACUUCACACGUUGGAAUAGCUUGAAUCAUGUUGUAUGUACGCAUACACUGCAAGGCAAUUCCUUGUGUAGUAUUUAUAUUGGAGUGGGACCUUCGAAACUCCAAUACAUGUGAUAAUGGGAACUGUACAGAUAGUAUUUGCAUGCUUAUUUGGACGUUCAAAUCGGUGAUUUAUUUGUUCAAGGAAUCCUGGUCGGCUGAACAUGUCUUGAAGAUGUUUUUCCAGCGGAAGUUGAACAAAAUAUGACACUUCUGACUUGGAACUAAAAUGUCUGGUGCAAGCUGGAUUUGGGUAAGUGUGGGUGUCUUUCUCAAGGGCAAUACUACAGGCUGGGCAAAAGUGGUGUCGGAUAAUAUCUGAUUGUUUUAUGUUCAGUAAUUUGUAGAACUUGUACAGAGUUUUCGGGAGAAUGUGUGAUGGGAGAAGCAAUGUACCAAUUAAUGAGAGUAAAUCUUCAAGAGCUUUGUUUGACAGCUUGUUAACAACAAAAGCCAGAAUAAGUAUCAAAGCUACAUGAAGGGAAAAGGAGGCCUCUGGAUAGAGAGGGGUAUCUACCGAUGGUGCAUCUUUAAUGCGUCGGCAAUUCCGUCCUCAGGCAAGUUGUCAGCAAUCCCGUCCUCGAGCAAUGGUGCAUCUUCUAACAGGUCGUCACAGCAAUCUCGUCCUCGAGCAAUGGUGCAUCUUCUAGCAGGUUGUCAGCAAUCCCGUCCUCAAACAAUGAUGCAUCUUCGUCAGUAAUCCCGUCCUCGAGCAAUGGUGCAUCUUCUAACAGGUCAUCAGCAAUCCCGUCCUCGAGCAAUGGUGUUUCUUUAACAGAGGAACUAGGGCCAGCUAUAGGUAAAAUUAAAUUAGCAGUGUGCAUGCAUGCACAUGAAUGCAGCCUUACUAAAAGAGCUUUACAUGGGCUUGGCAUAGUUAAUAAUUAGUACACAUACCAUAUUAAACUCAAGCCACUCUAUAGGAUAUAGUUAAUAGUUAGUACCACGUACCCUGACCAGGUAGACCAAGCCAUCGUUUUGUGCUUUUUGGCAUUUCUUCAAGAGGAUUGUCACUUUUAAGGUACGCAUUAUAUCUCCUUCUCUUUUUUGAUUCCAUCAUACGUACCUCAGAAACUGCUUCAAGACUUAAUUAGAACUUAUAUAUCUUAGCUAGCUAGUUGCUGGUGAUCAAUGUGUGCAGGAUGAGUGCAGAUGUUUCUUGUUCACAUGGUAACACAGUGGCAGCUGCAACAUUUUUGAAUCUUAUUUGUUGGCAAGCUUGGAAGUAUGGCUCUAUAUGCUCUGUUAGAGUGGACUGAAGAGCAAAGCCUAGGUGCUUUGCCUGUUACCAGCAUUGUUACAGGCAACCAGGCCAUAGGAGAAAUAGUGCAAGCUAACUAUCAGAGGAAAACCUACGAUGCAAAAAUUCUCAAUAUUGGUGAAAAGAACGAGAUUAAAGCACAGCUCAAGCGAGUAUCAAAAAUGCCUUCUGAGCUCCCAGACACUACCAUCGGCACCAUUGACACCACCGUAGCCAUUGAAAAACAAAGAAAAAGGCGUGAAACAGCUACCCUAAAAAAAGCUACAAAAACAACAGAAACAACUUUAGAAAAUGAAAUUAGAGCAGCAUUAAGUAUUCUACAAGAAAACAGCACUACUGAGGACUCUGACAGUAUACCAGCAGACGUCCACCGCUACAGCCGUAUUGUGGUGAACAAGGGACACUUGCAGGGCUCCCACAACGUCAAGCCUUGCCGAAUCCAUAUUUAAACCCUUACUUUCAGCAAGCGUCAGACAACACUGGUUGGUCUCAACAACCUCCACCAAACGUGUUUUUAGCGACCAAGAUCAACAAGUUAACACUGCUUGUAGAUACUUUAACGAGCCGUGUAGAGGCACUCGAAAGUCAGAGCACAAAGAUCUCACCAACGGAGUCAUCCCUUUUUCUUGGAGAGUCUUUGUCCCUGACUGCAGGACAGCAGGCAACACUAAAAUGCCUCAGUGCCUCCCAGGAGUGGCCGUACACUCUUAAAACUUCUUGCCAUCCUGUACGAAGACCUUGAUCUCGGAUCGAUGUGUGCAGUUGGGAAAUCGGGCGCAAAAAACACACCAAUGAACAAAGAAGACUUGGGCGCUCUCAAAGGGUAUUUGCAGAGUAUCUACCCAACUGCCACAACGAUGACGAAAUGAAAGUUCAAUGCUGUUGUCAACAGUGCUUGCUCAGGGGCAAGAAGGAGGACCAAAGUAGUUUAAAAAUCGAAGUACUGUGAUACACUGCAUGAUCUAGUCAUAAUAUGUACGUAUAAUGCAUUUAAUGGUUUUGAGUUUCCAUGGUAACAAUUAAACUAUGACAUCCGUAUCAUGCAUGCAGCACGUACAGUAUCAAGCGUGCAUAAAACAAGCAGCACACGUGCUGCAUGCAUGCUACAUACAUGCAGCACGUAUGUUGAAUCUGGAAACAUAAGUGUGAGACAAAAGCAUCACACACGUCGUGUAUACGUGUGACAUGUGUGUGGCAUGCAUACCAUACACGUAUGCCACACACAAGCAAUACAUAGGUGCGGUACGCGUGCAUACAAUAAGAGCAGCACGUGUGCAGACUGCAUUCACAGUACAUUCAUGGGGCACUCUUAGUACAGCUUUUAUGUUACUCUCCUUCUGCUUGAGUGCGAAAUUCUGAAGUGUAGCACACGUGUGGCAUACAUGUCAGAAGUGUGUGCUAUGAGAGUACAUGUGUGCAACUGAUAUGUGCCACACACGUGUCACACUCAUUGCAUUUCUGUAAGGGUGCCCAUUAAUUUUGUCAAAUUAAUUUACAUUCAAGUUAAGAUUUCUGAUAUAACAGCACUGAUAAUUAUGUUGUUUUACACGCAGGCUUCACUGAGCAUGGCAGCAGCAGCACACGAUUGCAGUAACAGUCAUCCUUCUUUGCUCGUGAAAACUAAUGAGAAUGGGGUUGUCAACGAAGUCUUUUUGAUUUGUGAAAAGACAAUCAUAUCCCCAAUUAAAGGUGUAGAGGCCCCAAUUGUCAUUUAAUACAAAGUACCCAAAGGGAUUGCAAUCCAUGUUUACUCUAUUGGAAAUACUCCUUUGUGGUUUGAAGCCUAAAAAAAUACCCACCAUCAUCGUAUCCAACAUGCUUGUAAGGAUGAAGAAGUAGACUAUAAUAAUGAACUCUGGAUAUGACUGAUCCCUCCCUAGCUGUAUGCUAUAAUAAUGCAUAACCAAUUAAUUUGUGCAAAAUACUAUUGUCAUGCAUGCAUUGAUUAAUUUUUUUACAUAUAAUGCGCUUGCUGUGUGGAAUGCUAUAGUGCGUUAAAACCACACCAAAUUUUGAGUGACUAUUGUGACAAAUGAAUCACGUACUAUUUUGUGUGAAAACCACGCAUCAUUUUUUUACAGUGUGGUUAGCAAGCAGAGACAGAGAAUUCAAAGUCAAGAACAAGCUGUUAAAGAUGUCUACACUGAGCCUCAAUUUAGAUCUAUACUGACUAAUACAAACACUCUACCUCAAUUUAGAUCUACUGACUAAUACAAACACUCUAAUAGAUUGCUGUUGCCAGCUACGAUAAAGUGACUGCUUCCACUAUCUAUAGCUAUGCUGAUACCAUGCAAUACUGAUGUUGGCACACAUGAUUAGAGGAGGUAUCUCUUGUAAUAAUAAUUAUGAUGGCAUAACUUCUUUUUUAGGAACAUGCAUGCAGAGUGUGAAUAUACAUGCAGAUGCCAGCACUGGGCCCGUGACAGAAAUGUGUGCUGUAGAUACUGAAUCCUUGCCUCCUACAAAAAAACAUUGCUCCGAGGCUUCGUGAAAACGUUUAACAUUAUAACAACUCGAUCUGAGCUUCCAACACACUUUUCAAGACGAGUGUAAACAGCAAUCGACAACUAUUUACUCAUGGAGCCUGACCAUCAAGCAGCAUUCAUCUGGGAAAUCGUUCAAGCAUACGUUUCACAGCCCACCAUGCACUCAAGAUUAUGCAGCGAUUUCCAGGAAAAUUGUUGACAAGCAUCCUCUACGAGAUGCAAAACAGUCAAAACCCAUAGUUUUGACUAUUAUAAAAUUAUCGUGCUAUAUAUUCAUGGCACCUAUGCAUGCAUUCAUUAAUGUACUAUAGACCUUAUAAUAAGUGUUCAUGUUCAUUAAUCACAGGCCACAAUCAGCAGGCAAAUUUCCCAGCGUUAUCGAAAUACUCGUCUAUCAAACUUAUAUUUAUUGCAUGAUCCUCGUGGUAGCUAAGUGUGAAAUUAAUCAUGUCUGUUAGAAGAUCCUAUGGAUUUUGAGAGUGAAUCUCUUGUAAGCUCUCAGUUUCAAUAUGUUGUGGGAGGGUGGUGUGCAUUGCAGCAUUUACCUCAGCAAGAAGUAGAUGUAGAGCUGACCAGAAACAGUUUCUGUUUGAUACCUCCUUGAUAUUUCUUCCGUCAUCAAGCAGACAAGUAUCGAGCUCAAGUAAGCUAACGAUGAUGCUUGAAGGCAAGCAUGUAUAAUAAUUAUUAUUAUGCAAAACGCUUUCUUGAAUUUUCUCGGAAUUUCAAAGAAGAGGUGCAAAACAGUAACGGAGAUGGUAUUCACAAACCACUCGAAAAUCCCAUGUGAGAGCCGAGGCCGCAGAAACAUCUGAAGGCAAGACUUGAUAGAGAAGAAAAUACUUUUGGCAAGCUGCAUGCAUGUAUAUAGUAACGUUCUUUUCGUCAGCAUAAUUAUAGAUGUAGCUAUAUAUAAUAUAUAUAGGAUUCAAGUGAUUGCUCCAUGGCUUCUAAGCAGAAGGAAACAACCGCUUCUGACGAGUAUGAAGAAAACUUAAGUAGUUUUCAAGCAGAGCUAACUAAAGACCACCCAAACAGGAAACAAUUAAAGACACUAAUGAAGUCAACCUUUUCUGGACGAAGGUCAUGGAUCAGAUCAGACAGACCAAGCUUAUCAGAAGUGCUUGAUGUGUUUCCUACACUGAAGAAGAGAAAUUUCUUCAACGUGAACUCGUCUCAGUUUUAAACGAGGAUAUGCCACAAAUCAAUACCGGCAAAUUAUUUCUAAAGUCUUUGGAGUCAUGGAAGCAGCUAGCAACCAAAGUGAUAUCUUAUGCCCAGGCUGAGUCCAGAACCAAUGUUGUCGUGAGGAAGGUGUUGGCAUCACAUGAAGCCGAGACGACAUAAGUUGAAGAUGACUUGAAAGCAUUCAAGCUGCUAAGUCUACUUCUGUCCAGCAAGAAGAGUGUGAAAGAUUCUAAACUUGUGCACAGAUUCUCGGUGUUGCAAAGUCUUGACGAAGCGGUGUCUUCUACUUCCGUCAACCAUCCAUACUUGGCUCUAGUACCUACUACCGAUAAUCUACAGUAUUUCCUAAUUAUAGAGAGGAUCGUGGUUGCAAGCAUGGACACAUUUACUGAGGGUUUGUUUGCUCUAAUGUCAGCUUUUUAUGCAUUCGAUAUGGCCUAUCCAAAGAACCAUGGGUCAAUACUGCAACAUCUAGUGAUGAAGAUUGCUGACACAAAGGACACUCUACCACCGAACGUAAAUACUCUGCUAUGCAACACUUUAAGCUAGUAAAGACUAUUAAAGGCAUUAUGCUCACCAUGACUGUAUGCAUAAUACUAUUAUUUCUCUCUGUUAGAUAUGUAUGACAGUGUAUAUACGUAUCUUAUACCUAUACCAGUACAAUAAUGUACUUUAUACCUGAUUUAUUAUUAUACCUAUAAUCCUGGCUAUUGAUCACCCACUUAUUUUUUAACCAUUCACCUUUUUCAUACCAACUGCAUCACACGUUGUUUAUAUACAUGUGGGUAACGUUGUUUAUAUACGUGCAUGUGCAGACAACCAUAACAAACAACGUACAUUAUGAAAAGCCAUGAUUGUGUUGCAGUUAUUACAACCAAAAUAUAUUGUCUUGGAAACAACCUUGGAUUGUAUCGCUUAACAACCCAGGGUGUUCGACCAGUGUAUGAGCCUGAACAACCUUUUUUUUUAACAGUGUAUACCAGAAAAUGAAGAGCUACUGGCAAGCAAAGAAUCUGUUGUUACGAUUGAAAGCUGAAGUGAUACCAAUAGGUCUUUAAAGUAAGUUUUAGUUAUGAUUAUUCCAGUUAGAGCGUUGUAGCUGAUUUGUGGAGCUUAAAAUGGCUGUAGAGUAAACAACCGAUUAUCGAACACGUUCUAUUUUCGAACGCUUGGUCUUGAGGACAGUGGCUCAGAGCACUAAGCUGAUGGUACCUAGGUAUAUAGACUAGGUAUAGCUCUAUUCAAGAACUCACGGCAACAGAAAGCUUCCUCGGACACUCAACUAUUGGAACAGAUUUAGUUCAAACAUAGCCACGAUUCUUCGAACUCUCUCUCUCUCUCGUAUCAACAGAAGGCUCUAAACAGCUAGCUACAAUGCAUGACCGUAAUCUACAACUAGUAAACUAUGUACAGCUCUGGUUUCGAGGUCUGAUGGUGGCCUCUUAAAAAAGUGCAGUAGUACCAUUAAAAUCCCAACGAUUAAUAAUUUUUUCCUAAAGUUGCAGUUUAAGUCAUGGCUUAUAAUGGAGA
This is a long non-coding RNA of Halichondria panicea, 8520 nucleotides long. RefSeq lists it as uncharacterized. The record is from RefSeq and is a predicted model, not a curated record. NCBI's taxonomy places the organism in Eukaryota, Metazoa, Porifera, Demospongiae, Suberitida, Halichondriidae. The transcript is spliced from 8 exons.